CGUGUCCUGGUGUGGUUGAAUCAUAACUAAUCAAAUAUGCUGCAUCAGUAUAAGUGAUAAAGUCGCAUAAAAGGAAAUUCAUGUACUACUACUGUACUGUAUAUAAUGUACUAGUAAUCUCAUUUGAGUUAAGCCAGUUUUUGUUAAUGUUCUGGAAAAUGAUAAUUUGCCGAAACACAUAUGCUACAUUUGCUUGGGAAAGCUCACAUCGUUUUUCCAAUUUAAACAAAUGUCUGUUAACGCUCAAAGCCAAAUCCCUCAUCUCAUGUGCGAACUACCUGAAUCAGUCACUAUAACCCCAGUUAAGAAUGGUGAAGUUGGAUCGACAGCUAAUGCAACACGCAGUUCUUUACAAAAUGGUGUAUCUAACAAGGAUGAGUCAGACAGCAGUGGUUUAAACCUAAUGAUUCAAAAUGUUCAAUCCCUCGCGCAUACUCCAAGGACACCGGGUGAAAUCUCUACUACCCCAUCGGCACCUGAAAAACGAAAAAACCUCGAUCUCACACCCGAGGAAAAGGCUGCGAGAAAAAAGGAAAGAAAAACGGUAUGUAUGGAAUGUGGCCUGUGGAUGCCAAGGUACGAGAUAGCAGAGCAUGAAGAAAAGGUCCAUUUCAAAAGAGACUAUUUCUGCCUGAGAUGCGAGAAAGACUUUGUGGCACAGCCACAAUGGGCAAAACACGUAGAAGAGGUUCAUUCAGAGGCAACUUAAAAAAGAUAUUUCUACUUUGCCAUCAUUUGGGUCAUUGAAGAAUUCUGAAUGCUUGAAGAAUGAAGAAUCGGUCCAUCUAGACUGUGUUUAUUUCACAUUCUUCUUAAAUGAAUUCCUGUACAUAAAUAUAUUAUAUCUAUUAUGUAGUUCCUGUCGUUAAAAAAUUGUCAAAUUUUUUAUAUAUUGUGUAUAAGAGUUGUGAAAAUAUUUUUCUUUUUUACAAUUGGGAUUCUAUUUCAGGAAGAAAAACGCGUUUAUAAGUAUUCUUUUUUGGCCAAUCUGUGAUAUCGCAAACUCUAUUCCCAUGCUGAAAAAAUAAUUUUAAUUCCGUGAAAAAUUUUAAUUUGAUCUCGUUUUUUAUUGUACAAAAUUAUUAGCACUGAGCGAAGUUAAUUGUGCCUACCUUGAGCAUUCACGCAAAGUAUUUACUUGGAAUAGAAAUGCUAAUGACUAUAAGACAUUUCAAUAAAAUACAACCAUGCACUUAACUUCUUGUAAUUGUAAUUUAUUUUUUUUUCAUGUCUUUUAGUUUAAAUUUAAUCCUAUUGUUAAGAAUUACGUCGUUGAUGCCUUUGUUCUAUCCCCCUGUACAUUUUAUUAAAAGUGCAUUAUGAUAAAAUGUUACUAUUGGCAGAGAUGCUAUAGGUGUAACUGAAUCCCAUGUUAUUUUAAUAAAUUAUUUUUUAUUGUCACUUGUAUUUACAGCUUGAAGUUGUUGCAAAUUUAAUUUUUGCAAUAUUCGCAAAGAGCCAUUAUUUACAGUAUCAUUUACAAAAAUAGCCAUAAUACUGUUCAAAAGUUAAAUUUAUUGUUUUAAUAAACAAAUUGUAUUUACACUUGAAUAUACAAAUUGUACAUAAUUUUUCUACAAUAAUAUACAAAUACAAAAAAAA
Molecule: unclassified non-coding RNA, 1602 nt
Filed under: Cimex lectularius (bed bug)
Lineage: Eukaryota; Metazoa; Arthropoda; Insecta; Hemiptera; Cimicidae
Description: uncharacterized LOC106668648, transcript variant X2
Source: RNAcentral